GUGGAACCUGGAAUUCAAACGGCUGGGUAGGAAGCACGCUAGCAGGGGCCUCUGGCCUUGCUGAGGGUCCCUGUUUCCCCUUUUCCUUCCUUUUCACCCAACAAAACCCUGCUUUACUCACCCUUCAAACCAUCUAUGAGCCUAAAUUGUCGUGGUCGUGGAAUGGACAAGGACCCAGUCUUUAGCUGAACUAAGGGAAAGUCCUGCUUUUUGGCGCGCAACAGGGGAGCUCAAGAAACAGGCCUCACUCACGGCAUAUGGAACUAACCACGCCCCUAACUAAGAAGGCACACCUUAGUUGCAGUUAGCACACAAUUAAAGCAACUCUCCAAGUUUUACCUUAAAGUUCAAAAUUGCUAGGAGUUGAAACUACUAGAAAUAUAUUUACAUGCAAGAGUCAAAGAAACUUUGAACUAUUUAUGGCCUUUAAUAAUUAAGUAAGGUAUACUCCUGUGAUCAAGACUUGGAGCAUAUUUGUUUCUCUCUGCCUGGUUCCUCUAGAAAUUGGAAACUAUCAGAACAGAGACCAACUCCGUUUCCCGAUCCCUUUGCAAUCUGCAUUGAACCAUGAGUCAAGUUCUUGAUAAAGGAGUGAAAAUGGUAAGUCUAAAGCAAUGAAAAGCUGCUGUAUUGACUACACAUGCCUUCAUUUCUUCUACCCUGCUUCUUUCAUGCCUGCUUAUCUGAAUGACACCAGGAUGACAUUUAAGGCACAUCUGAAGAUGGGGAAACCACAGCACAGAAUAAGGCUGGGCCCUUGAAUCAAUAAAUGAAGGAGAACUACUCAAGAGAACAAAACCACCAGCAAUAUCCACCUGUAUUUGUCUUUUCAUAAUGUGUGACACAUGUGCUCAUGGAUUAUUGUCCGAAGCAAGACAUGUGACCAAGCCUAACAUCAACUGGGUGAAGAGCUAUAUGUUCCUUUCUCAAGAGGCACUACAAGUGACAUGCCACUGGGCAGGUAAGAUCCUCUCAAAUGAAGGGACUGUGAAUAUUUGACUAAUAAUACAAAUAUUUACUGGAUAUUUUACAGUGAUAUUUACAAAUAUCACUGGCUAACUUUUCCCAGCUUGAUAUCCUGAAAGAGGCACAGUUUCAGUAGUAAAUGGUAAAUUUACCUUGAUUGCACUGAAGGCUAUUUCUUUAAAACUAUUUUCUUUCCUUUUGACUAUUCCAUGUAUCCUUUCAGAAGUAAACAUUGUUUUUACCCCUUUAAAAAGUCUACUUAUACCAUCUACUUAAUUUGGAAUUUAUCUAACAUUGCCAGUUUGAUAUAGAUACAGAAAUUUAAUGAGAAAAUGCAGUUCUAUAUUUAGAAUAUGGAUUCUUCAAGAUGUUUCUGACACACAUUUGUUUUCAUUGAAACAUUAAACAAUUAUUUAGCUAACA
Long non-coding RNA from Homo sapiens (human), 1389 nucleotides. Ensembl annotates it as long intergenic non-protein coding RNA 1515. The record is from Ensembl. Lineage: Eukaryota; Metazoa; Chordata; Mammalia; Primates; Hominidae.